Molecule: ribosomal RNA, 495 nt
Filed under: Chernyshevia escarpiaphila
Lineage: Eukaryota; Metazoa; Nemertea; Enopla; Monostilifera
Description: partial large subunit ribosomal RNA
Rfam family: Bacterial large subunit ribosomal RNA
Source: RNAcentral
CAAAAACAUAGUCUCUUGUUUUUUUAUAAGAGAUGAUUUCUGCUCGGUGUUUUUAAACAGCCGCAGUAAUUUGACUGUGCAAAGGUAGCAUAAUCAUUUGCCUCAUAAUUGGGGGCUUGUAUGAAUGGUAUUACGAAAGUUUAACUGUCUUUUAUUUAUUUUUAUAAUUUGUAUUUGGUGUGAAGAUACACUAAUUUUUUAAUGGGACAAGAAGACCCUUUUGAGCUUUAUUUUAUAGGUUACUUUUUGUUUGUAUUUAAUUUGGUUGGGGCGACCUAGGAAGAGAUAUUUAUUUAUAUUUUAUCUUCCUUUAGUUUUGGAGAACCAGUAUUUUUGGUAUAUAGAUUGAGUUACCAAAGGGAUAACAGCGUAAUUUUUUUUGAGAGUUCUUAUUAAAAAUUAAGAUUGCGACCUCGAUGUUGACUUAUAGUUUCCUUUUGGUGCAGUAGCUUAUAGGGUAGGUCUGUUCGACCUUUAAUACUUUACGUGAUCUGA